This 429-nucleotide ribosomal RNA is filed under the name Chloroflexota bacterium. RNAcentral describes it as "Chloroflexi bacterium partial 16S ribosomal RNA". It matches the Rfam family "Bacterial small subunit ribosomal RNA", at positions 355 to 776 of the family's 1533-position model. RNAcentral also lists the same sequence under 1 other name. Lineage: Bacteria; Bacillati; Chloroflexota. The record is from RNAcentral.
UGGGGAAUAUUGCACAAUGGGCGCAAGCCUGAUGCAGCCAUGCCGCGUGUAUGAAGAAGGCCUUCGGGUUGUAAAGUACUUUCAGCGGGGAGGAAGGGAGUAAAGUUAAUACCUUUGCUCAUUGACGUUACCCGCAGAAGAAGCACCGGCUAACUCCGUGCCAGCAGCCGCGGUAAUACGGAGGGUGCGAGCGUUAAUCGGAAUUACUGGGCGUAAAGCGCACGCAGGCGGUUUGUUAAGUCAGAUGUGAAAUCCCCGGGCUCAACCUGGGAACUGCAUCUGAUACUGGCAAGCUUGAGUCUCGUAGAGGGGGGUAGAAUUCCAGGUGUAGCGGUGAAAUGCGUAGAGAUCUGGAGGAAUACCGGUGGCGAAGGCGGCCCCCUGGACGAAGACUGACGCUCAGGUGCGAAAGCGUGGGGAGCAAACAGG